RNAcentral lists this small RNA (224 nucleotides) under Arabidopsis thaliana (thale cress). RNAcentral's name for it is "ATSL238950". The stretch from base 82 to 184 matches the Rfam family "Small nucleolar RNA snoR99". Lineage: Eukaryota; Viridiplantae; Streptophyta; Magnoliopsida; Brassicales; Brassicaceae. The record is from RNAcentral.
UGUAUUGUUUUGUUUUCUAUUAGGGUUUUAGAUUUGGGACUAAGUUAUUCAAUGUCCCAUUAGCAGAAUUGAUUUCUCUUAGUGCUUAAUAGGAUUGAACAAAGUCCCUCAAAUCUUGAUCCAUCUGUCACUUUGUCAGCAGUCUUAAUUGGUUUCUUGCUGAUCAUUAUAUGAUGGGAAAUAACAUAUAAUCUCGAUUUUGAUUAAUUGGUAGAAUUGCUUAA